UACGGAGGGGGCUAGCGUUGUUCGGAAUCACUGGGCGUAAAGCGUGCGUAGGCGGCUAUUCAAGUCAGAGGUGAAAGCCUGGGGCUCAACCCCAGAAUUGCCUUUGAAACUAGGUAGCUCGAACACGGGAGAGGUGAGUGGAAUUCCGAGUGUAGAGGUGAAAUUCGUAGAUAUUCGGAAGAACACCAGUGGCGAAGGCGGCUCACUGGACCGUUGUUGACGCUGAGGCACGAAAGCGUGGGGAGCAAACAGG
Molecule: ribosomal RNA, 253 nt
Filed under: uncultured bacterium
Lineage: Bacteria
Description: partial 16S ribosomal RNA
Rfam family: Bacterial small subunit ribosomal RNA
Source: RNAcentral